GCCUUCGUGAUGUAGUGGUCAGCACGCUCGACGCGUAUUCGAGAGGUCCGUGGUUCGAGUCCCGGCGAGGGCA
Molecule: transfer RNA, 73 nt
Filed under: Stegodyphus mimosarum
Lineage: Eukaryota; Metazoa; Arthropoda; Arachnida; Araneae; Eresidae
Rfam family: tRNA
About the family: Transfer RNA (tRNA) molecules are approximately 80 nucleotides in length. Their secondary structure includes four short double-helical elements and three loops (D, anti-codon, and T loops).
Source: Rfam by way of RNAcentral